RNAcentral lists this unclassified non-coding RNA (278 nucleotides) under Hevea brasiliensis (rubber tree). The record is from RNAcentral. Lineage: Eukaryota; Viridiplantae; Streptophyta; Magnoliopsida; Malpighiales; Euphorbiaceae.
ACCUCACCCUCUUGUCUACCAAAGAGAAAUUCCUCCUCAUCAAACUCAACUAAAGGCAAGUCCUCUUGUUCAUCCUCCAAUCCCCCUAACUCAAUUCCUUCGACAAGAUCUUUACCAAAGAAUGCAUAUUGAGAUGCAUCAAACACGGCAUCUUCUGUGGAGUUGUCUCCGAAUAGAUUAGGAUCGCCAGCUUUGGGAGCCUCUUGAGCAACACCCCCACUUUCAAUUCCUUCCAUAUCUACACUUGUUUUUCUUAUCACUAAAAUCUAAAAGCAGCA